AAACUUUUGAUGGCGACCGGCGCACGGGUGAGUAACACGUAUCCAACCUGCCUCGAUACUCGGGGAUAGCCUUUCGAAAGAAAGAUUAAUACCCGAUGUCAUAGUCCUACCGCAUGAUGGGAUUAUUAAAGAAUUUCGGUAUGGGAUGGGGAUGCGUUCCAUUAGUUAGUUGGCGGGGUAACGGCCCACCAAGACAACGAUGGAUAGGGGUUCUGAGAGGAAGGUCCCCCACAUUGGAACUGAGACACGGUCCAAACUCCUACGGAAGGCAGCAG
Molecule: ribosomal RNA, 275 nt
Filed under: uncultured bacterium
Lineage: Bacteria
Description: partial 16S ribosomal RNA
Rfam family: Bacterial small subunit ribosomal RNA
Source: RNAcentral